GCCUUCGUUGCCUCGCACGUCCGCCCUUACAAGGCGGUUGUCGGCGGUUCGAAACCGUCCGCGCGCACCA
Molecule: transfer RNA, 70 nt
Filed under: Streptomyces sp. HG99
Lineage: Bacteria; Bacillati; Actinomycetota; Actinomycetes; Kitasatosporales; Streptomycetaceae
Also listed under: 1 other name
Description: tRNA-Val
Source: RNAcentral